UGGUAGUCCACGGCGUAAACGAUGUCGACAUGGAGGUUGUUCCCUUGAGGAGUGGCUUCCGGAGCUAACGCGUUAAGUCGACCGCCUGGGGAGUACGCCCGCAAGGUUAAAACUCAAAUGAAUUGACGGGGGCCCGCACAAGCGGUGGAGCAUGUGGUUUAAUUCGAUGCAACGCGAAGACCUUUACAUACUCUUGACAUCCAGAGAAAUUAGCAGAGAUGCUUUGGUGCCUUCGGGAACUGUGAGACAGGUGCUGCAUGGCUGUCGUCAGCUCGUGUUGUGAAAUGUUGGGUUAAGUCCCGCAACGAGCGCAACCCUUAUCCUUUGUUGCCAGCGAUUGGGUCGGGAACUCAAAGGAGACUGCCGGUGAUAAACCGGAGGAAGGUGGGGAUGACGUCAAGUCAUCAUGGCCCUUACGAGUAGGGCUACACACGUGCUACAAUGGCGCAUACAAGAGAAGCGACCUCGCGAGAGCAAGCGGACCUCACAAAGUGCGUCGUAGUCCGGAUCGGAGUCUGCAACUCGACUCCGUGAAGUCGGAAUCGCUAGUAAUCGUGGAUCAGAAUGCCACGGUGAA
Molecule: ribosomal RNA, 577 nt
Filed under: Pantoea sp.
Lineage: Bacteria; Pseudomonadati; Pseudomonadota; Gammaproteobacteria; Enterobacterales; Erwiniaceae
Description: bacterial SSU rRNA
Rfam family: Bacterial small subunit ribosomal RNA
Source: RNAcentral